GAUGAACGCUGGCGGCGUGCCUAAUACAUGCAAGUCGAGCGAACAGACGAGGAGCUUGCUCCUCUGACGUUAGCGGCGGACGGGUGAGUAACACGUGGAUAACCUACCUAUGAGACUGGGAUAACUUCGGGAAACCGGAGCUAAUACCGGAUAAUAUAUUGAACCGCAUGGUUCAAUAGUGAAAGACGGUUUUGCUGUCACUUAUAGAUGGAUCCGCGCCGCAUUAGCUAGUUGGUAAGGUAACGGCUUACCAAGGCAACGAUGCGUAGCCGACCUGAGAGGGUGAUCGGCCACACUGGAACUGAGACAAGGUCCAGACUCCUACGGGAGGCAGCAGUAGGGAAUCUUCCGCAAUGGGCGAAAGCCUGACGGAGCAACGCCGCGUGAGUGAUGAAGGUCUUCGGAUCGUAAAACUCUGUUAUUAGGGAAGAACAAAUGUGUAAGUAACUAUGCACGUCUUGACGGUACCUAAUCAGAAAGCCACGGCUAACUACGUG
Molecule: ribosomal RNA, 497 nt
Filed under: uncultured bacterium
Lineage: Bacteria
Description: partial 16S ribosomal RNA
Rfam family: Bacterial small subunit ribosomal RNA
Source: RNAcentral